UGGCUCAGAUUGAACGCUGGCGGCAGGCCUAACACAUGCAAGUCGAACGGUAACAGGAAGAAGCUUGCUGCUUUGCUGACGAGUGGCGGACGGGUGAGUAAUGUCUGGGAAACUGCCUGAUGGAGGGGGAUAACUACUGGAAACGGUAGCUAAUACCGCAUAACGUCGCAAGACCAAAGAGGGGGACCUUCGGGCCUCUUGCCAUCGGAUGUGCCCAGAUGGGAUUAGCUUGUUGGUGGGGUAACGGCUCACCAAGGCGACGAUCCCUAGCUGGUCUGAGAGGAUGACCAGCCACACUGGAACUGAGACACGGUCCAGACUCCUACGGGAGGCAGCAGUGGGGAAUAUUGCACAAUGGGCGCAAGCCUGAUGCAGCCAUGCCGCGUGUAUGAAGAAGGCCUUCGGGUUGUAAAGUACUUUCAGCGGGGAGGAAGGGAGUAAAGUUAAUACCUUUGCUCAUUGACGUUACCCGCAGAAGAAGCACCGGCUAACUCCGUGCCAGCAGCCGCGGUAAUACGGAGGGUGCAAGCGUUAAUCGGAAUUACUGGGCGUAAAGCGCACGCAGGCGGUUUGUUAAGUCAGAUGUGAAAUCCCCGGGCUCAACCUGGGAACUGCAUCUGAUACUGGCAAGCUUGAGUCUCGUAGAGGGGGGUAGAAUUCCAGGUGUAGCGGUGAAAUGCGUAGAGAUCUGGAGGAAUACCGGUGGCGAAGGCGGCCCCCUGGACGAAGACUGACGCUCAGGUGCGAAAGCGUGGGGAGCAAACAGGAUUAGAUACCCUGGUAGUCCACGCCGUAAACGAUGUCGACUUGGAGGUUGUGCCCUUGAGGCGUGGCUUCCGGAGCUAACGCGUUAAGUCGACCGCCUGGGGAGUACGGCCGCAAGGUUAAAACUCAAAUGAAUUGACGGGGGCCCGCACAAGCGGUGGAGCAUGUGGUUUAAUUCGAUGCAACGCGAAGAACCUUACCUGGUCUUGACAUCCACGGAAGUUUUCAGAGAUGAGAAUGUGCCUUCGGGAACCGUGAGACAGGUGCUGCAUGGCUGUCGUCAGCUCGUGUUGUGAAAUGUUGGGUUAAGUCCCGCAACGAGCGCAACCCUUAUCCUUUGUUGCCAGCGGUCCGGCCGGGAACUCAAAGGAGACUGCCAGUGAUAAACUGGAGGAAGGUGGGGAUGACGUCAAGUCAUCAUGGCCCUUACGACCAGGGCUACACACGUGCUACAAUGGCGCAUACAAAGAGAAGCGACCUCGCGAGAGCAAGCGGACCUCAUAAAGUGCGUCGUAGUCCGGAUUGGAGUCUGCAACUCGACUCCAUGAAGUCGGAAUCGCUAGUAAUCGUGGAUCAGAAUGCCACGGUGAAUACGUUCCCGGGCCUUGUACACACCGCCCGUCACACCAUGGGAGUGGGUUGCAAAAGAAGUAGGUAGCUUAACCUUCGGGAGGGCGCUUACCACUUUGUGAUUCAUGACUGGGGUGAAGUCGUAACAAGGUAACCGUAGGGGAACCUGCGG
This 1507-nucleotide ribosomal RNA is filed under the name Escherichia coli. Its description in RNAcentral is "bacterial SSU rRNA". It matches the Rfam family "Bacterial small subunit ribosomal RNA". The record is from RNAcentral. Lineage: Bacteria; Pseudomonadati; Pseudomonadota; Gammaproteobacteria; Enterobacterales; Enterobacteriaceae.